UCCAGAGACCAGAGUAGGGAGUUCCAUGUCUCAAAAAAGAAAAAAAAGAGUAGGGAGUUCCAGACCCAGCCACCGACGCAUCGAGCCAGCCGCUCGCUUCCUUUCGCGACCUCCGGAUUUCGCCAUCUUGCUCGCUCGUCGCGUCCCCGCCUGUGUAGCCGAUCGUUGGGCGCCCAGGACCACAGCCUGUCCGUCCCGCCCGCUCGGUGUUUGGGGCUCGACGGCGGCCGCGCCACCUCAACUGCGCAGUCGUGCCCCUGCAAGCCGGCGCUGGCGCCGGCGCCCAAUCCGCACAUCGGCGCUCGGCCGCAGGCAGCCAGCAACCAUCCGUGUUGAUUUGAGAAGCCACAAAAUUGAGGUACGCAGAAGAUGAACAAACCUGAGAAAUGAUGAUCCAAAGAUGAGUCGGAGUUCGAGCAUCGCAUAGCCGUCAGCUGUGGUUGCUUGUAGGCGGAGUGUCUCAGACCUAAGUUGUUGCCGCUGGACCGUGGUUACAUGCAUCCUCGCUUGGAGGCAGCGGUGCUGGGAGAUAUGCAUGUCCAAGGUGAAGAAGUGGACGAAGCCCGAAGAAGCAAUCUGUGUCUCCCUAUCGCUGUGUCCUGCUCCUCAAUAUGUCACCUUAGUUAUGGCCGCCUUAUCUCUCAUGCUGCUGAUUUAAACCUGCCCUACUCUUCUUCUCCUAGGCUAGUCGAGCGCUUCAGCGGGUGCCUCGCCGACGACGGGGAAGGAAGGAUCAGAAGUGAUGGCUAUAGUGCUAAGAAAUUGGAAACCCUAGCAAUUGAUCUUCUCUAUAAACAUUUGUGGCAAGGGACGUGGAACCUGCUUCAGGGAAGAAGAGAUGGAUCACGUGAGAGAAGAUACCAGCUUGCAUCCUUUAUCGGACAGACAAUUGUUUUUUUUUGCCAAUUGCCUAGUCCAUAUUGUCCAUGUGUUCGAUGCAUGCAAACGUGUGGCUCUUGGAGUUUGUAGGUAGACCUGCUAUAUUGCUCUUGAUAUGUGUAAAGAGCUUUACUUUUUAUUUCCCCUUUUUCCUUUCCAAUUCGGACAUGCAUCAGUUCAUGCGUGACUGUACUCUUGUUUUAAUUAUAUAUAAUAGAUUGCACC
Long non-coding RNA from Triticum aestivum (bread wheat), 1104 nucleotides. RefSeq lists it as uncharacterized. Lineage: Eukaryota; Viridiplantae; Streptophyta; Magnoliopsida; Poales; Poaceae. The transcript is spliced from 2 exons. The record is from RefSeq and is a predicted model, not a curated record.